UACGGAGGAUCCGAGCGUUAUCCGGAUUUAUUGGGUUUAAAGGGAGCGUAGGCGGGUUGUUAAGCCAGUUGUGAAAGUUUGCGGCUCAACCGUAAAUUGCAGUUGAUACUGGCAUCCUUGAGUACAGUAGAGGUAGGCGGAAUUCGUGGUGUAGCGGUGAAAUGCUUAGAUAUCACGAAGAACUCCGAUUGCGAAGGCAGCCUGCUGGACUGUAACUGACGCUGAUGCUCGAAAGUGUGGGUAUCAAACAGG
Molecule: ribosomal RNA, 252 nt
Filed under: uncultured bacterium
Lineage: Bacteria
Description: partial 16S ribosomal RNA
Rfam family: Bacterial small subunit ribosomal RNA
Source: RNAcentral